AUGCACGCUGGCGGCGUGCCUCAUACAUGCAAGUCGAGCGAACAGACGAGGAGCUUGCUCCUCUGACGUUAGCGGCGGACGGGUGAGUAACACGUGGAUAACCUACCUAUAAGACUGGGAUAACUUCGGGAAACCGGAGCUAAUACCGGAUAACAUGUUGAACCGCAUGGUUCAACAGUGAAAGACGGUCUUGCUGUCACUUAUAGAUGGAUCCGCGCCGCAUUAGCUAGUUGGUAAGGUAACGGCUUACCAAGGCAACGAUGCGUAGCCGACCUGAGAGGGUGAUCGGCCACACUGGAACUGAGACACGGUCCAGACUCCUACGGGAGGCAGCAGUAGGGAAUCUUCCGCAAUGGGCGAAAGCCUGACGGAGCAACGCCGCGUGAGUGAAGAAGGUCUUCGGAUCGUAAAACUCUGUUAUUAGGGAAGAACAAAUGUGUAAGUAACUAUGCACGUCUUGACGGUACCUAAUCAGAAAGCCACGGCUAACUACGUG
This 496-nucleotide ribosomal RNA is filed under the name uncultured bacterium. Its description in RNAcentral is "partial 16S ribosomal RNA". It matches the Rfam family "Bacterial small subunit ribosomal RNA", at positions 29 to 507 of the family's 1533-position model. The record is from RNAcentral.